AUCAGAAUAAAAAAUAAGCAGAUCGAAGUCUUCCUCAACCUCCUCGAUCUGGCUCUGGUUCUCUCCCGCGAAAUUCCCAAUCCCCCUCAAUCCUUCUCUUCCUCCGCCUCCAAAUCACCCAUAUCCCCGGUCUGGAAUCUCUUGGAAAACGCCAGAUCCGUUCUCCACUGGAACAAAUUCGAGGGUGGCUUGCUCGAUUUGUGGCUCGGUUUGUGGCCAGAUUGAUUUGUGGCUCCCGAUGGCCGACUGAGAUGGGGAUGGGGAGGAGUAGAGACAUGCGGGUGUGGCGAUGGGGAGGAGAUGCUUCGGUCGAUGGCUGGAAGAGGAGACGAAGCGAGCGGCGGCUGGACUCGCGUGCGGUGGCCGGGCAUGCGGCCAGCAGCUUGCCGGAUGGACUGAGCCGCCGGACGAGGUGGAGGCAAGGCGCUGAAGGUACUGCAGUUAUACGAUUGAACUCCUUAAUUUGCUGCACCAAUUUUAAAGGCGUAUCUUUGCAUCUAGAUGCAGUUGGAUGGUGAUUUAUUUUUGGUGCCAUGAAAUCGUUGGUUUUCAUGCCAUAUCUGCUCCACCAAGUCAUGCACAUGUUGGAUUUCAUGCCAAAUGAAAACAUUACAAGUUAAUAAAGGGAUACAUCAGAUUACAUGCGGAAUUAGAACAGUACAACAAUUUUUCACUGUUAAAAUAUAAAUUCUAGGCAUCAUUUGCUCCAAACUUUUGCCAUAUGUGCUCCACCAAGUCAUCUUUCAGUCGACGAUGCAUUGUUCGAUCACGUAUUUCAGUGUCUGUUUGAAGUACCCUAGCAAAUUCUUGAAUUGGUCCAUGACCGUAUCCUGUUAGUGGGACUGGGUCGCUACCCUCGUCGUAAUCCAAGUCAUACCGAACUUGAUAGUCAUCUCUCUCAUCCUCUACUAUCAUGUUGUGCAAUAUCACACAUGCAUACAUGAUAUCUGCUAGUGCACUUCUAUCCCACAAUCGUGCUGGGUUACGUAUAAUGGCAAAUCUUCGCUGCAAUACUCCAAAUGCUCUUUCCACAUCUUUUCUUGCUGAUUCUUGAUGCUGUGCAAAUCUCUUAUCUUUCUCACACUGUGGUAGGGGGAUUGUUUUCAUUAAUGUAGCCCACUUUGGAUAAAUACCCUCUGCUAGAUAGUAACCCUUCUUGUACACAUUUUCAUUGACUGUAAACUCUACUUUAGGAGCUCUCCCUUGUAGUAAUUGUGUGAACAAAGUUGACUGAUUUAACACAUUUAUGUCAUUGUUAGACCCUACCACACCAAAAUACGCAUGCCAAAUCCAAAGAUCAAGCGAGGCAACAACUUCUAGCAUAAUGGUGGAUGCUCCAAUAUCACCACGAGUAAAUUGUUCCUUCCAAGCAGUUGGGCACCUUUCCCACUCCCAAUGCAUACAAUCUAUACUUCCUGACAUGCCAGGGAAACCUCGAUUCUCAGCAACAUGAAAUAAGUGUCUAGUGUCUUCAUUAGUGGGCCUUCUUAGAUAUUCUUCACCGAAAUUCUUCCUCACACCUUUCGCGAACUUGGUCAAGACUUCAAUGGCGGUGCUUGCAACAAUUCUCAGAUUUUCAUCUAGACUAUCAGCAGGGCAGCCAUACGCUAGCAGGCGCAUGGCUGCAGUGCAUUUUUGGUGUGGCGAAUGACCAGGCUUGCCAAAGGCAUCAAACCUUUGGCAAAAAUAAGGGGACCACUCACUAAGUGCAUGUAAAAUCCGAAGAAAUACAUGCUUCCUCAUACGAUACCUUCGGCGGAAUUGCUUGUUCGUGUAAACUGGGUUGUCGUCGAAGUAGUCAGCCAUCAAGCGGAAGUGUCCAGCUUCACGGUUUCUUUCUAUGUGCCGUCGAGAUUGAGCUGCAGCUUCAUUUUGUUCUGCCUCGGCCUGAGCUAAAAUCUGUGCCUCUAUCUCAGCCUCAAGUGGGCCAUUAAUGAAGUCCCAAACAAUCUCAUCGACAUAUGCUGCAAUGGUGCUAUCUUCUGAGUUCUCGGACUCAGAAUCUGUAUGUGUAGAAUCUGAAUGUGUAGCCAUUUUGUAGCAGCUUGAUGAAUGAGGAGAAAGAGGAGUAGAAUUCUGAAUGAAUGAGAAGAGAGGAGUAGAGUUCUGAAUGAAUGAGUUGUGCAUAUAUGUAUGCAAGUUCCAACGGCUAGUUUCUUUUUUUAUUGUUCUUCAUAUCUAACAAGUCUUUCUUUUUCUUAAAAUAACAGGAAGGAUAACAUGAAGGAUGCAUUGACCAAUUGAUACAUAAUGAAGGAUUACACUAGUAGGUAAGAACCCAGGUCCUUACAUUAAAAUAACAUGAAGGAUACAUUGAACAACUAAUACAUAAUGAACUAAAGUAACACAAUAUUGCUAAAUACGAAUGCAUCUUUGGAAAUUAAUCCAACUGCUUGCACAAACUCUCCACCAUCUUUUCAUGUCGCUGAAGUUGUUCAUCGUUGAAUCCUGAAGUGUCAACUUUCAUGAGCUCCAUAUACGUGUUGAAUUUAUCAACCUUCGUCUUUUCUGUUUUUGCUUUAGCCAUUUCUCUUUUUGCUUCAGCCAUUUCUUUGUUUGCCGCUGCCUUCGCUGUUGUUGCUUCAGCCCAUUUUUCCAGUGCAGCUGCUUUGCGGCCAUCCUCAUCUGAUAUAUGAAAUGGCAUAAAAUCUGGAAUGUCCUUUCCUUUUGCUCUUGCUUUUGCUUUCAUUUUCCUUGCCUCCUUUGCAGCUUUUGUUCCUUGAGGUCGUGGUUCACGAACUGGGUUUGGAUCUUCACUGUCCUGAUUUGAGGAUGACGUGUAAGCACUAGGCCUGGACAAAAAGAUCGAAGUUCGAUAAUUUUAUUGAACGCUCGCUAACUCGGUUCCUUAAGGGCUCGGUUCGUUAACUAAAGAACCAAACAGGACUUUCUUUUCAGAUCGUUAACCUUAACGAUCUUAACAAGCGAGCUCGGCGAGCGCUCGUUAAGCUCGUUAGCAAGCUCGUCUCGUACAUCACUUGUGAGUGGUUACUAAAAUUAUUUUGAUGUUGGAAUUGUUUUGUUAUUUCUCUUUUGUUGUGUUAUUUCCAAUCUUUAUAGCGUUGUUUAACUUUUGAUAUAUUUUGUUUGCUGCCAAAAUUUAUCCCAAACAAACGAAUAAUGCCCAAAAAUUUAGAUCAACAUACCAUCUAUUAUCUUAACGAGUUUUUAACGAGCUUAACGAGCGCUCGCGAGCUCUUAACGAACAGAGCCAAACAAUGGUUUCAGAUCGUUAACGAUAACGAUCUUAACGAUCCGAGCUCUUAACGAACCGAGCUUAACGAACCGAGCUCGCUCGUUAGCCAGCCCUAGUAAGCACCAGUUGCAUCCAACCUGUGUCUCCUCCCUCCCAAGUCCUCUUCCAUGUACAGAUUACGCCAUUUGGGCUCUUCCCUCACUACUCUCCACCAAUACUCCAAAGCGAAGGGUCUCUUCACUUUUGCUACAUUUAAAUACAUGGCCCGUGUUUUCUCCAUGAGUCCCUCCUCUGAUUGACCACUGGCAUACACAUUUUUUGUCUUAAUGUAGCAUGCAUGGAAGAGACAAACCAACGGGGUAGUCUUGCUCCAGUGAUUCUUGCAUUGGGCAGUAGAUCUUCUUUCAUUUGAUGGCUAUUUUUGUUGUAUUUUUAAUCCAAGAGUUGAUCAAUCGCUCAUUCUCCUUUUUUGUCCAAUUGGUGCGGCCUCUUCUUUGUUCUUCAUUUGGACUGCUAUCUUUGUUUUCUUCAUGCUCCACUUCAUGAUGUGUAUUUUGUGCAGCAGACAUUGGAGAGGUGGAAUCGACCGGCGACGAUGAAAUUCCGGCUCCGUAUGCUCCAAAGAAGGCGCUGGAUUCAACCGACGAUGUUGAAACGCCUGCUCCGUAAGCUCCAAAGAAGGCGCCGGAUUCGACCGGUGAUGAUGAAUGCCCAGGUUGACCUCCUCCAUAGGUAAGAUGUGUGGGUGGGCUGGAAUUGGUUUGAUAUGGAGCUUGCAUGUUUCCUGGAUUGUAUGCAUGGAGCUGGUGGAUGCCCUGGUGCGGACCAAAGGGAUCGAGGCUUGGAUGAUGUGGAUGCAUGUCGGAGGGAUAUUGAGAGGAUGAGAGUAAGUUCAUGGCAGCAGCUUGUAUGUGUUGUUGGUACAAGCUAUUUUGAUUUUCUGGAUCUGCACUUGGAAUUGCAGAGUUGAGCAUACUUGUAAAAUUUGGUAGGCGAUUGGGCUCCAUAUUUUAGAUGUGUGUUGUUUUUGAAAUUCUGAAUCUUGUUGCGUGUAUAUAUAACAGGCAGCCAACGGCUAGCCAGCAACGG
Molecule: long non-coding RNA, 4285 nt
Filed under: Brachypodium distachyon (stiff brome)
Lineage: Eukaryota; Viridiplantae; Streptophyta; Magnoliopsida; Poales; Poaceae
Description: long non-coding RNA (BDIS_LNC002711)
Source: RNAcentral